AAGUCGUAACAAGGUUUCCGUAGGUGAACCUGCGGAAGGAUCAUUAACACGUAUCCAAACGUUAAACAACCCCGUGAACAUACAACCUGCUCUGGUCGCCCGCUCGCAUGGACAAGCCCAGUAAAUCAAGCCCCGGAAAGUUUUUGAUUUGGGACCUCUGUGCGCGUGAGAAAAACUGACAGCGAUUCAUAGAAGCGGUAGGUCAAGUGACACGGCGUCCCCAAGUGACCAGUGAAUGAAAGUGUCGCUGGAUUGCUACGGCUUCCGUGUAUACUGAGCUUAACAUCGCUCCCUUCCGAACCCCACUUUAUUGCCUUGCCUGUAAGCAUCCGCCCCCCGAACAACUGUUAACAAUGGAUAUCUUGGUUCUC
This 371-nucleotide unclassified non-coding RNA is filed under the name fungal sp. RNAcentral's name for it is "partial internal transcribed spacer region". The stretch from base 1 to 46 matches the Rfam family "Eukaryotic small subunit ribosomal RNA", at positions 1786 to 1831 of the family's 1831-position model. Lineage: Eukaryota; Fungi. The record is from RNAcentral.